GCGCAUACGGUGGAUGCCUUGGCAGUCAGAGGCGAUGAAGGACGUAGGAGCCUGCGAUAAGCGUUGGUGAGCUGGCAAGCAAGCUUUGACCCAACGAUUUCCGAAUGGGGAAACCCAACCAACAUAAGUUGGUUAUCUUGCACUGAAUUCAUAGGUGUAAGAAGCGAACGGGGGGAACUGAAACAUCUAAGUACCCCUAGGAACAGAAAUCAACCGAGAUUCCCUUAGUAGCGGCGAGCGAACGGGGACCAGCCGAUGUGAAUAGUAGUAGUGGAACAUUCUGGGAAGGAUGGCCAUAGUGGGUGACAGCCCCGUACACGAAGCUACUGUUUACACAUAUUAAGUAGGACGGGACACGUGAUAUCUUGUCUGAAGAUGGGGGGACCAUCCUCCAAGGCUAAAUACUCCUGACUGACCGAUAGUGAACCAGUACCGUGAGGGAAAGGCGAAAAGCACCCCGACGAGG
Molecule: ribosomal RNA, 466 nt
Filed under: Isochrysis galbana
Lineage: Eukaryota; Haptophyta; Isochrysidales; Isochrysidaceae
Description: partial Bacterial large subunit ribosomal RNA
Rfam family: Bacterial large subunit ribosomal RNA
Source: RNAcentral